UGCCUGGCAUGCACAGGCCCCGGGGACCGACAUGCUGCUCUGACUGAGACCGUCCUGACUUUGUCAAAUUCUACGUCUGGCCUGGGCCACAGAAGCACAAGUCCCCUGGGUGGUACCACUGGCUGCUUUCUGGACUGGAACAUAAAGUCCUCCUCAAGAUGACCUGUGGUCUGCCUCUUGGCAACCAACAAGCCCGCAGUGUCAUACGACCCAUGAGACAUGGACUGAAGGCCCAAAGGGAGUGCACACCAUGCUCCAGAGCCAGCUGCUCCUUUCCUCUAUAUGGCCCCAUUUGCAGCACAGUUGUUGCACUGAGGCUUGUGCAUGCUGGGCAAGGGCAAGCUGGCUCAAAGGGCAACCAGCUAUCUUUGCACGGAUGUGCCAGCAGCAGGCAGACCAGCCAUCAACCUCACACGCUGCCAGUCAGGCUAAAUCAGCUCUUCUACCAUAAAGGUAGGGCCACAGUGCCAUCUGGUUUUCCUAAGGCCUCUGUUUCUUCAGCCAUUAGGUGGCACCCACUCAGGCUUUGGGAACCUGGCUACCCCGGCUUCCUGGAGUGGGUGAGCUGGUGGCUGCUCCACCUGCUCUAGGUGCACCCUUGCAGAGGUGGCUGGUUGCUCUUUGAGCCAGCUUGGCCUUGCCUGGCAUGCACAGACCCCAGCUACGGACACGCUACUCCAAGUGAGCUUGUCCUGUCUACGGCCAAAUUCUAAGUUUGGCCAGGGCCACAGAAGGCAGAGUCCCGAGGGUGGUAAUCCUGGCUGCUUUCUGCACUUGAACAUAAAGUCCUUCUCAAGAUGGCCUAUGGUCUGCCUCUUGGCAACCAAGAAGCCCACAGUGACAUAAGACCCUUGAGGCAAGGACUGGAGCCCCCAAAGGCAGCAUACACCUUGCUCCUGAGAUGGCUGCUCGUUUCCCCUAUAUGGCUCCAUUUGUAGCACAGUAGUAGCACUGAGGCUUGUGCAUGCUGGGCAAGGCUAAGAGGGCUCAAAGAGCAACCAGUCACCUCUGCGAGGGUGUGCCAGGAGCUGGGGGCACAGCCACCAACCUCACUCGCUGCAGGACAUGGAACAUCAGUUCUUCUAACAAAAAGGUAGGGCCAAGGGCCAUCUGCUUUUCCUAAGGCCUUUGCUAUAUCAGCCAUCAGGUGGCAGCCACUCAGGCUGUGGGAACAUGGCCAUCCACUUCCUUGACUGGGUAAGGUUGGUGGCUGGUCCACCUCCUCCAGACGCACCCCUGCAGAGGUGGCUGGUUGCUCAUUGAGCCAGUUUGGCCUUGUCUGGCACGCACAGAUUUGAGGUACUAACACGCUGCUCUGAGUGAGCUUGUCCUGCCUUGGCACAAAUUCUAUGUCUGGCCAGGGCCACAGAAGACCAAGUCCCCUGGAUGGUGAUCCUGGCUGCUUUCUGCAGUGGAACAUAAACUCCUUCUCAAGAUGGCCUGUGGUUGGCCUCUUGGCAACCAAGAAUCGUGCAGUGGCAUAGGAGCCCUGAGGCAUGGAUUGGAGAGCCGAAGGCAGCGCAUACCCUGCUCCUGAGCCUGCUGCUUGUUUCCUCUCUGUGGCUCCAUUUGUAGCACAGUUGUUGCACUGAAGCUUGUACAUGCCCGGCAAGGCCAAGCUGGCUCAAAGAGCAACCAGCCACCUCUGCAAGGAAGAACAGGUGCACCAGUUACCAACUACAGGUCGGAGAUGGUACAUCAGUUCUUCAACCCUAGAGUUGGGCCACAGUGCCAUCUGCUUUUCCUAAGGCCACUGCUCCAUCAGGAAUUAGGUGGCAGCCAAGGCAGGACAAGCACACUCGGAGCAGUGUGUUAGCACCUGGGGCCUGUGCAUGCCAGGGAGGCCAAGCUGGCUCAAAGAGCAACCAGACACCUCUGCAAGGUCUGGCCAGGGCUAUAGAAGGUCCCCCUGGAUGGUAAUCCUGGCUGCUUUCUGCACUUGAAUAUAAAGUCCUCCCCAAGAUGGCCUGUGGUCUGCCUCUUGGCAACCAAGAAGCCCGCAGUGCCAUGUGACACCUGAGGCAUGGACUGGAGCCCCAAAGGCAGGGUACACCCUUCUCCUGAACCUGCUUCUUGUUUCCUCUAUAUGGCUCCAUUUGUGGCAAAGUUGUUGCACUGAAACUUGUGCAUGCCGGGCAAGGACAAGCUGGCUCAAAGAGCAACCAGCCACCUCUGCAAAGGUGUAGCAGGAGCCGGUGUACCAGUCACCAAUUAGCGUCCUACCCUAAAGGUAGGGCCACAGUGCCAUCUGCUUUUCUUAAGGCCUCUGCUCCAUCAGCAAUAAGGUGGCAGACACUCAGGCUGUGGGAACCUGGCCAUCCCCACUUCCUCGAGCGGGUGAGGUGGUGGAUGCUCCGCCUGCACUAGGCGCACCCUUGCAGAGGUGGCUGGUUGCUCUUUGAGCCAGCUUGGCCUUGCCUGGCAUGCAUAGGCCCCAGCUACUGACACGCUGCUCCGAGUGAGCUUGUCCUGCCUUGGCACAAAUUUUAAGUCUCGCCAGGGCCACAGAAGGCUCAGUCCCAUGGAUGGUAAUUUUGGCUGCUUUCUGCACUUGAACGUAAAGUCCUCCUCAAGAAGGCCUGUGGUCCGCCUCUUGGCAACCAAGAAGCCUGCAGUACCAUACGAUCCGAGGCAUGGACUGGAGCCCCAAAGGCAGUGCACACCCUGCUCCUGAGCUUGCUGCUUGUUUCCUCUCUGUGGCUCCAUUUGUAGGACAGUUGUUGCACUGAAGCUUGUGCAUGCCGGGCAAGGCCAAGCUGGCUCAAACAGCAACCACCCACCUCUGCAAGGGUAUGCCUGGAGCAGGUGCACCAGUCACCAUCUAGCGGCCGGACAUGGUACAUCACUUCUUCUACCCUAAAGGUGGGCUACAGCACCAUCUGCUUUUCCUAAGGCCACUGCUCCAUCAGCAGUUAGGUGGCAGCCAAGGCAGGACAAGCUCACUCAGAGCAGCGUGUUAGUACCUGGGGCCUGUGCAUGCCAGGGAGGCCGAGCUCGCUCAAAGAGCAACCAGCCACCUCUGCAAGGUCUGGCCAGGGCUACAGAAGGCCCCCCUGGAUGGUAAUCCUGGCUGCGUUCUGCACCUGAACAUAAAGUCCUCCUCAAGAUGGCCUGUGGUCUGCCUCUAGGCAACCAAGAAGCCCGCAGUGCUACACGACCCCUGAGGCAUGGACUAGAGCCCCAAAGGCAAUGCACAACCUGCUCCUGAGCCUGCUGCUCGUUUCCUCUCUGUGGCUACAUUUGUAGCAGAGUAGUUGCACUGAGCUGUGUGCACGCCAGGCAAAGCCAGGCUGGCUCAAAGAGCAACCAGCCACCUCUGCAAGGCUGGGCCAGGAGCAGGCGGACCAGCCACCAACCUCACUCCCUGCCAG
RNAcentral lists this long non-coding RNA (3371 nucleotides) under Homo sapiens (human). RNAcentral describes it as "HSALNT0274899". Lineage: Eukaryota; Metazoa; Chordata; Mammalia; Primates; Hominidae. The record is from RNAcentral.